AAGUCGUAACAAGGUUUCCGUAGGUGAACCUGCGGAAGGAUCAUUAGCGAGUAUGGCCCUCACGGGUCUAAUCCACCAUAAACACCUUUGUGAACCAGUCAGGGGGACUCGGCCGUGAAAGCCCAGGCGAUUAGCGGAAGGGACCUCCUUUGCAAACCCGUUUAGAAGUCUUGAAAGUACUUUUGUAUAAUCUAGUAAAACUUAUAGCAACGGAUCUCUUGGCUCUCGU
Molecule: unclassified non-coding RNA, 229 nt
Filed under: fungal sp.
Lineage: Eukaryota; Fungi
Description: partial internal transcribed spacer region
Rfam family: Eukaryotic small subunit ribosomal RNA (bases 1-46)
Source: RNAcentral